GUGGGGAAUAUUCCGCAAUGGACGAAAGUCUGACGGAGCAACGCCGCGUGAGUGAUGAAGGUUUUCGGACUGUAAAGCUCUGUUGUUUAGGACGAAAGUGCCUGUUGCAAAUAGUUACAGGUAUUGACGGUACUGAACGAGGAAGCCACGGCUAACUACGUGCCAGCAGCCGCGGUAAUACGUAGGUGGCAAGCGUUGUCCGGAAUUAUUGGGCGUAAAGAGCAUGUAGGCGGGAAUCUACGUCUGUUGUGAAAAUGCGGGGCUCAACCCCGUAUUGCGAUGGAAACUGGGUUUCUUGAGUGCAGGAGAGGAAAGGGGAAUUCCCAGUGUAGCGGUGAAAUGCGUAGAUAUUGGGAGGAACACCAGUGGCGAAGGCGCCUUUCUGGACUGUGUCUGACGCUGAGAUGCGAAAGCCAGGGUAGCGAACGGGAUUAGAAACCCCUGUAGUCC
RNAcentral lists this ribosomal RNA (450 nucleotides) under uncultured bacterium. Its description in RNAcentral is "partial 16S ribosomal RNA". It matches the Rfam family "Bacterial small subunit ribosomal RNA", at positions 354 to 796 of the family's 1533-position model. The record is from RNAcentral.